UAUGUGAUCGUCUCUCGCAUAUCAAUAAGCGGAGGAAAAGAAACUAACAAGGAUUCCCCUAGUAACGGCGAGUGAAGCGGGAAGAGCUCAAAUUUGAAAUCUUAAAGGGUUUCCCUUUACGAAUUGUAGUUUAAAGAAGUGUUUUCCUGUUGAGGUUUUGGUAAAAGUUCUUUGGAAUAGGACAUCAUAGAGGGUGAGAAUCCCGUAUUUGACCUUUACUUUCAACUUUGUGAUACACUUUCAAAGAGUCGGAUUGUUUGGGAAUGCAGUCCAAAAUGGGUGGUAAAUUUCAUCUAAAGCUAAAUAUUGGCGAGAGACCGAUAGCGAACAAGUACCGUGAGGGAAAGAUGAAAAGAACUUUGAAAAGAGAGUUAAACAGUACGUGAAAUUGUCAAAAGGGAAGCGUUUGACACCAGUGUUGUUUUUCUGAAAAUCAAUUAAAGAACUGUUUAUGCUAAGUUGUUUAGACUUUAUCAGCUAAUCUGCUUAGUUUUGAGCUUUUCUUUAAUGCACUUUUCAGUUAACAAGUCAACAUCAAUUUCUUUUGCUGUAAAAAAGCUUGAGGAAGGUGGCUUGAGAUUCGUCUUAAGUGUUUAUAGCCUCUUGCCUAUGCAGUCGGAGAGAUUGAGGUCUGCAGCGUAGAUCCUUCGGGGCUAAAUGCAUUUGUGCUAAGUUAUAGCAUUUUAUAGACAACUUGUUGACUAUGAUUUGUCUUGUAGCUUACUCGCUUAUGUUAUUUUACCUACGCUUAGGAUGUUGAAGUCAUCGUAUCGCGC
RNAcentral lists this ribosomal RNA (776 nucleotides) under uncultured Neocallimastigales. Its description in RNAcentral is "partial large subunit ribosomal RNA". It matches the Rfam family "Eukaryotic large subunit ribosomal RNA", at positions 24 to 645 of the family's 3401-position model. Lineage: Eukaryota; Fungi; Neocallimastigomycota; Neocallimastigomycetes; Neocallimastigales. The record is from RNAcentral.